Molecule: RNA transcript, 2792 nt
Organism: Oryza sativa Japonica Group (Japanese rice)
Lineage: Eukaryota; Viridiplantae; Streptophyta; Magnoliopsida; Poales; Poaceae
Gene name: beta-1,2-xylosyltransferase XYXT1-like
Source: RefSeq, a predicted model, not a curated record
CCACAAAUUGCAAGCACAGCCAGUAGAAGAAGCUGAUAAAGAAACCUCUCAAAGCGCAGUUCAGCAACAGCCCAAAGUUGAUAUAGAAUCAGUCAAGUAGGGAAUUGGAAACGUACUCUACCAAGUAGUACCAAGUACCAACUACCAAGUUCCAAUAUUAAUUCGAUUCUUAUGUUGAGGCGCGGCCAAACUGCCGCGGGAUCAUCCUUCUGCCACCGGAGACUCCCGAGAUGAGGCGAGGGGAAUCGAAGGCGGCGACGAGGGGCGCAAAUCGAUCGUCGUCGUCGUCGUCGUGGAAGAGCAGAUAUAUUGGAUAUGGCUUAGUUCUUGGCUUCGUGUUGGUGCUGCUCUACUUGAUGGUCAAUGCGCAGUUCAGCAACAGCCCAAAUGCUUAUUUAGGCCCAGCAACAACUAGUAAAACUGAAUCGAUUCCUGCUACAACAUAUCAAGGGAAUCAAGCAUGGCAAGAAGAUGGGAGCAGAGGACUGGAGGAAGGCCACAGGGAGGAGGUAGCUAGUACACACACGGAACGAUCAACAGGCCAACGUCAAGAGAAAGAUGACGAAAGCGAGAAGCAACGAACAGAGAAAAAUUCAAUCGAGGAACAAUUAGGCAACGACAGGAGCUCUAACUACUGGGAGGAAGGACGCCAAUCCGAGAAGAAGGAUACGAUAGAAUUCAGUGAAUUCGGAGGAGGAACGGACGACUUCAACAAUGUUGCCAACACCAAGCCGAUCUGCGACACGUCGUUCGGCAAGUACGACAUCUGCGUGCUCGACGGCGACACGCGAGCGCAGGGAGGCGGCGGCGCCGGCGCCGCCGUGGUCACCCUGGUCUCGCCGCGCGCGGCGCCGCGGGAGUGGAAGAUAAAGCCCUACUCCCGGAAGUACCUCGACGGCCUCAAACCCGUCACGGUGAGGUCCGUCCCCAACCCGGAGGACGCCCCGCCGUGCACGACGCGGCUGAACGUCCCGGCGAUGGUGAUCGAGCUCGGCGGGCUCACCGGCAACUACUGGCACGACUUCACCGACGUGCUCGUCCCGCUCUUCAUCGGCGCGCGUCGCUUCGGCGGCGAGGUCCAGCUCCUCGUCGUCAACCUGCUGCCCUUCUGGGUGGACAAGUACCGGAGGAUCUUCAGCCAGAUCUCGCGGCACGACAUCGUCGACCUGGAGAAGGACGACGACCGCGGCGUCGUCCGCUGUUACCCGCACGUGGUGGUCGGCUAUGGCAGCCGCAAGGAGUUCACCAUCGACCCCUCCCUCGACGACACCGGCGGCGGCUACACCAUGGUCAACUUCACCGAGUUCUUGAGGCAAUCCUACUCGCUCCCGCGUGACCGGCCGAUCAAGCUCGGUACCAACCACGGUGCACGGCCGCGGAUGAUGAUCCUGGAGCGGACCAACAGCCGGAAGCUGAUGAACCUCCCGGAGGUCGCCGCGGCCGCGCGAGCGGCGGGGUUCGAGGUGACCGUCGCCGGCGGCCGUCCGACGAGCACCUACGACGAGUUCGCCCGGGAGGUGAACUCGUACGACGUGAUGGUGGGCGUGCACGGCGCCGGGCUGACCAACUGCGUGUUCCUCCCCACGGGGGCCGUGCUGCUGCAGAUCGUGCCGUACGGCCGGCUCGAGAGCAUCGCGCAGACGGACUUCGGCGAGCCGGCGCGAGACAUGGGGCUCCGGUACAUCGAGUACGACAUCGCCGCCGACGAGAGCUCGCUGAUGGACGUGUUCGGCAAGGACCACCCCAUGAUCAAGGACCCCGUCGCCGUGCACUUGAGCGGGUGGGGAAACGUGGCCGAGUGGUACCUCGGGAAGCAGGACGUGCGGGUCAACAUUGAGCGGUUUAGGCCGUUUCUGACGCAGGCGUUGGAGCACCUGCAGUAGCGAUCCUUUUUCUCGAUGAACAAGCAAAAAUGUAUAUGCAUAACACGACGAAUUACAGGACCUCUUGGACUACUUCGUAUAGCAGAAGGAUUGCGUAAUAUGUUAUCAUGGACUACUUCAUAUAGGACCUCUUGGACUACUUCGUAUAGCAGAAGGAUUGCGUAAUAUGUUAUCAUGGACUACUUCAUAUAGCAGGAGGGUUGCGUAAUAUGUUAUCAGCACGACGUUCUACCGGAGACCGAGAAAGAAGAAGGUAGAGAAAUCUCUUGAAUCCCCUUGCAUCUUGGACAUUGAAUUGCAAAAAAGAAUUGCUCGCAUCCUUCCGAUUCCGUUUUUGUGGUUUUUGUUGGAUUCCAUCACUGCCGACUGGGAGUCGCCGGCGAAUGCCGAUUGACGGAGUUACCACCACCGGCCGCCGACUGCCACGAACAGCGCCGGCCCAAACCACACUCGUACUCACGUUGGCCGCCGGCCGCGCUGUCCUGGCUGCGGCCCCGCCGACCGUUGAGGCUUCGCCCGCGCUGGGCCUCGUUUGCACCGAUGCCGCCGCGACCGCCGCAUCGGCCGGUUGCACAGGGAAGGAGAAGGAAUCGGAGAAAAGAAAAGGAAGAAGUGUUAGUAAUAAGUCUAGCUGCUCAGAGUAGUUAGUUUCCCUUUGUUUUUACGUUGAGUCUUGCACAUGAUCUGUUCAUCCUGUUUGUGUGCAUAGUGGGCUUGACGCACGCUGCGUUCGUGCGGAGUCCGUGGUGUCGUGCGUGGUGUGCUCCAGUUCGUGGGAUGACGCGAAGUGGCAAGGAGUGUGGCACGCACAAUUAGGAGGCCACUAUGGCCACGUUUAACUUUCUUGUAAUUUGCUAUUUAAGGUUAAGCUCUAAUCCAGAAAAGCUGCCAGUUAAUGCAGCGCCAAAA